RNAcentral lists this ribosomal RNA (253 nucleotides) under uncultured bacterium. Its description in RNAcentral is "partial 16S ribosomal RNA". It matches the Rfam family "Bacterial small subunit ribosomal RNA", at positions 524 to 776 of the family's 1533-position model. The record is from RNAcentral.
UACGUAGGGGGCAAGCGUUAUCCGGAUUUACUGGGUGUAAAGGGAGCGUAGACGGAGGAGCAAGUCUGAUGUGAAAAUCCGGGGCCCAACCCCCGGACUGCUCUGGAAACUGUACGGCUGGAGUGCAGGAGAGGUAAGUGGAAUUCCUAGUGUAGCGGUGAAAUGCGUAGAUAUUAGGAGGAACACCAGUGGCGAAGGCGGCUUACUGGACUGUAACUGACGUUGAGGCUCGAAAGCGUGGGGAGCAAACAGG